GAUGAAGAACGUAGCGAAAUGCGAUAAGUAAUGUGAAUUGCAGAAUUCAGUGAAUCAUCGAAUCUUUGAACGCACAUUGCGCCCGCCAGUAUUCUGGCGGGCAUGCCUGUCCGAGCGUCAUUUCAACCCUCGAACCCCUCCGGGGGGUCGGCGUUGGGGACCUCGGGAGCCCCUAAGACGGGAUCCCGGCCCCGAAAUACAGUGGCGGUCUCGCCGCAGCCUCUCCUGCGCAGUAGUUUGCACAACUCGCACCGGGAGCGCGGCGCGUCCACGUCCGUAAAACACCCAACUUUUAAGAGUUGACCUCGAAUCAGGUAGGAAUACCCGCUGAACUUAAGCAUAUCAAUAAGCGGAGGA
RNAcentral lists this unclassified non-coding RNA (357 nucleotides) under soil metagenome. RNAcentral's name for it is "partial contains 5.8S ribosomal RNA, internal transcribed spacer 2, and large subunit ribosomal RNA". The stretch from base 1 to 120 matches the Rfam family "5.8S ribosomal RNA", at positions 35 to 154 of the family's 154-position model. The record is from RNAcentral.